This 333-nucleotide ribosomal RNA is filed under the name Triticum aestivum (bread wheat). RNAcentral describes it as "partial small subunit ribosomal RNA". The record is from RNAcentral. Lineage: Eukaryota; Viridiplantae; Streptophyta; Magnoliopsida; Poales; Poaceae.
AUGAGCGGGAGCGGGGGAGGCAGCAGCGGCAUCAUCAGCAUGGACCAGCACCAGCAGCUCCCCCGCAGAGUUGAGGUGGUGAUGGCGGAGGAGCUGGGGGCCGGGGACUACUUCUCCACGCCGCCAUCGGCGUCGUCCACCACCAACGCCGGCAAGCUGCUGGCCCUGCCCAGCCCCAGGUCACCCCUCCAGCCACAGCCGCUCUUCACCGCUGGGUUCACCGUCCCGGCCUUGCACCCCUUCGCCGGCCUCACCUUGCGCCAUAUGGUUAGUAGUACACUUGCCUCUUCAGUCUUCAUCUCCCUUCCCGCCAAAUCAAAGGCAGCAAGCUGA